UACGUAGGGUGCGAGCGUUGUCCGGAAUUACUGGGCGUAAAGAGCUCGUAGGUGGUUUGUCGCGUUGUUCGUGAAAACUCACAGCUUAACUGUGGGCGUGCGGGCGAUACGGGCAGACUGGAGUACUGCAGGGGAGACUGGAAUUCCUGGUGUAGCGGUGGAAUGCGCAGAUAUCAGGAGGAACACCGGUGGCGAAGGCGGAUCUCUGGGCCGUAACUGACGCUGAGGAGCGAAAGCAUGGGGAGCGAACAGG
Molecule: ribosomal RNA, 253 nt
Filed under: uncultured bacterium
Lineage: Bacteria
Description: partial 16S ribosomal RNA
Rfam family: Bacterial small subunit ribosomal RNA
Source: RNAcentral